CACGGCCUAUCAGCUUGUUGGUGAGGUAAUGGCUCACCAAGGCGACGACGGGUAGCCGGCCUGAGAGGGUGACCGGCCACACUGGGACUGAGACACGGCCCAGACUCCUACGGGAGGCAGCAGUGGGGAAUAUUGCACAAUGGGCGCAAGCCUGAUGCAGCAACGCCGCGUGGGGGACGAAGGCCUUCGGGUUGUAAACCCCUUUUAGCAGGGAAGAAGCGCAAGUGACGGUACCUGCAGAAAAAGCACCGGCUAACUACGUGCCAGCAGCCGCGGUAAUACGUAGGGUGCAAGCGUUGUCCGGAAUUAUUGGGCGUAAAGAGCUCGUAGGCGGUGUGUCGCGUCUGCUGUGAAAAUCCAAGGCUCAACCUUGGACCUGCAGUGGGUACGGGCACACUAGAGUGCGGUAGGGGAGAUUGGAAUUCCUGGUGUAGCGGUGGAAUGCGCAGAUAUCAGGAGGAACACCAAUGGCGAAGGCAGAUCUCUGGGCCGUAACUGACGCUGAGGAGCGAAAGCGUGGGGAGCGAACAGGAUUAGAUACCCUGGUAGUCCACGCCGUAAACGGUGGGAACUAGAUGUGGGGUCCGUUCCACGGAUUCCGUGUCGCAGCUAACGCAUUAAGUUCCCCGCCUGGGGAGUACGG
This 643-nucleotide ribosomal RNA is filed under the name uncultured actinomycete. RNAcentral's name for it is "bacterial SSU rRNA". It matches the Rfam family "Bacterial small subunit ribosomal RNA", at positions 232 to 885 of the family's 1533-position model. The record is from RNAcentral. Lineage: Bacteria; Bacillati; Actinomycetota; Actinomycetes; Actinomycetales.